Molecule: long non-coding RNA, 2530 nt
Organism: Astatotilapia calliptera (eastern happy)
Lineage: Eukaryota; Metazoa; Chordata; Actinopteri; Cichliformes; Cichlidae
Source: Ensembl
GGACACUUCACACCAAGGGCUAAAAUGAAUUAUCUUUGUGUGUCUAUGCUCUGUACAGUCUCUGCUUCUCAUUUUCAUUUUUUCCUGUGAGUCGGGAGGCAUGCUCGUGCAUAUUUUUCACAGAUAUUUUUAUUUUUAUUCUUCUUGCUUAGAGAGAAAAAAAAUUUAAAUGCAAGGAAAUUGUGCAAAGCAAAAGAACUUUUGUGUACCAUGUAAAGACACAUAACCAUUUUAAAAAGCUGCGGGAGAAGCGUUGACCAUAAUGAUGUCAUAUUUUGUACAUUUUUUUGGUUUUCUGGCUGUGAGAUGGACCUUCUGGCCACGCUGGCUGGAUAUACCCUUUCUGGGGUUUCAAGAGAGCCCUUGUUUAAGGUUCCACUCUCGGGUUGUAUUUCGAUAAAGACAGACAUGAUUGAUUACUGCGUGAAGCUUCCUGCCAGCCAGUUUUAGUGUUUUAAUACAUGUGCUCACGUGUUAAUGGUUUAUGUAGAAGUUCCCCCUCAAUGACACUAUGAACGCUAUCAUCAUGAGCUUUCUUUCUUUCUCUUCUACUUAAACAUGUAUUUAUUUUUUUAAUCUCUGUGAGUUUUAAUGUAUAAUCCUGGAUUUUCAGUAUUAAAAACUUUCUAGUGGAAUUAAAAAAAAAAAGAAUAGAAGAAGAAAAACCCUUUGUAUACACAAGAACAAAAAAGAGCUGAUGCAAUCAUAGAGAAAAGAAGAAACGCAUGACGGUGUCAGAAGCCAGUGUUGGUGAUGUCAUAGUGCUGACUUAUGAUGUCACGGCGUGUAUGUGCGUACAUGUACAUGCGUCUGUUUUAGUUUGUGUGCCCGUGCGUGUAACUUUCUGUGUCUUCUUAUUCUUCUUAGGAAUGCUGAACCUCAUUAUUAUUUAUUUUUCUUCUUUUUGUUUGGACCAAACUCGGAGUACGUCUUCAGCACUCGAGUCACUGCGUGUUCAUAUCAAGCUGUAAUGACAUUUUGAAAGCCUGUCGUUCUUUUAAAAAUUCAUUUUUUUAAAGGGACAUCAUUCAGUUAGCUUUUCUUGUCGAGCUAUGUUCAUCAAAGUGAGGACUUUUCAGACAUUUGAAAAUGUAACUUACUGAAGGCUUAUAUUGUGUCAGGUUUUGGUGUUUUAAUAGAAGCUGAGUGCUUUAAUUUAUUGGUGUUUAAGUUUGUGUCACUGAAAUUUGAGUUUAAAGGUACUUUUUGUAAACUUUGAUGUUUAAAAAUUCUUUAAAAUGUUCCAAAAUAAACAAAACUAUGAAAAAGAAAUGUGAAGAAACAACCACUGUGACUUUAUAUAUAAAACAUGCACUGUUUGGGUGCAUCAAGUGAAGCUGGAAUGGGGUGCAAAUAGUCUUACCUUUAUUUGUCAAAAACAGCACAUUUUUAUUUAUGACCAACCAACAGUUCGACUGCCUUGUCUUGAUCAACAAAUAGGUCCAAAAUUAUCAGACGUAACCACCGUGACGUCGCCCACUAGAUGAACAUUUUCAGUAUCUGACCUGACUGAAAAUCUCAAUCGAAUUCUCCCAAGGGUAAUUACAAAAAGUACCUUUAAUAUAUGUCCACAAAAGCUGUUUGUCUUUUAAAAGAAAUGUUUUCAUCUGAGAAAAUUUUAAAGGCACAGAAGGUAUAAAAAGCAGCUUUUUUUAGGUUGCAAUACGGCCGAAAGAGGAGAACGUUAAUUGCAUUUAAAGGUUGUUUUUCUGUGGAGAGCAGUUGUUGCCGAUGUGGAGCAGAAUGUAAAGUGACCUGAUUUGGCUGAUUUUAGAACCAUAAAAGAGCACGAGGCAUAAAAAUAAGAAGGGAGGGUGGAUGUAAAUGACGUGGGAAUUCAGUUAUAUUUUUAAUGUCUCGCUCAUUUUUCCUCAUACCUUCAAAAGUCUGAUGCAGAUGUUAUAAUCCAUGUUCAGUUAAUUGGUCCUCUGAUCAAACUGUGUGUGUGUGUGUGUGUGUGUGUGUGUGUGUGUGUGUGUGUGUGUGUGUGUGUGUGUGUGUGUGUGUGUGUGUGUGUGUUUUAACCACUGGGGGGGUGUUGGCAGGCUUGGGCAUAUUUGUAUUCUCGAAGCUACUCUGCAUACCUCAAAUUGUAUAAUACAUUUAUUUAUUACAUCCCCUUACAUGUCUAUUUCCAAGAAUAUCCAGACAAAGGUCUCACAGAUGUGCAACCCUUUUGUUAUUGGUGAUCGAUUCUUGCGUUUGUAGAAAUCAUACUGUUUAAUUGAUAAUAACAAUAAAAUUAAAUACCACUAAACUUUGUUUUUCUGUGUGGUGUGAUUAAAUAUUACUUUUUUAAUAUUUAGGUCACAUUUUUAUGUUUAGAACUUUUUAUUAAUAUAUUUAAUGUUGAUCCUGACUCCCUCUGCUUUUUACAAUUUUUUUUUUUAGUAGAUUUCAUUUUUUCCCCUUUUUUUUCUCCCAGAGUCACAGGCCCUCUGAAUAAAUGAAGUUGGAAUGAAAAUUUCCCCUUUUUUUCCAGAAUUAUUGACCCUUCAUAAAUUCCUAAGUAUGGAGACAUCGACAUGAG